GCGCCCAUAGCUCAGCUGGAUAGAGCGUCCGGCUACGAACCGGGAGGUCGCAUGUUCGAAUCAUGCUGGGCGCACCA
RNAcentral lists this transfer RNA (77 nucleotides) under Acidobacteriota bacterium. RNAcentral's name for it is "tRNA-Arg". It matches the Rfam family "tRNA". Rfam says of the family: Transfer RNA (tRNA) molecules are approximately 80 nucleotides in length. Their secondary structure includes four short double-helical elements and three loops (D, anti-codon, and T loops). Lineage: Bacteria; Pseudomonadati; Acidobacteriota. The record is from RNAcentral. RNAcentral also lists the same sequence under 1 other name.